RNAcentral lists this ribosomal RNA (447 nucleotides) under uncultured Caldilinea sp. RNAcentral describes it as "bacterial SSU rRNA". It matches the Rfam family "Bacterial small subunit ribosomal RNA", at positions 335 to 798 of the family's 1533-position model. The record is from RNAcentral. Lineage: Bacteria; Bacillati; Chloroflexota; Caldilineae; Caldilineales; Caldilineaceae.
UGUCCUACGGGGGGCUGCAGUGAGGAAUAUUGGGCAAUGGGCGAGAGCCUGACCCAGCAACGCCGCGUGGAGGAAGACGGCCUUCGGGUUGUAAACUCCUUUUGACAGGGAAGAGAGAGGACGGUACCUGUCGAAUAAGUCACGGCUAACUACGUGCCAGCAGCCGCGGUAAUACGUAGGUGACAAGCGUUAUCCGGAAUUACUGGGCGUAAAGCGCACGCAGGCGGCUGCUUAAGUCUGACGUGAAAUCUCCUGGCUUAACUGGGAGGGGUCGUUGGAAACUGGGUAGCUUGAGGUGGUGAGAGGGGUGCAGAAUUCCCGGUGUAGUGGUGGAAUGCGUAGAUAUCGGGAGGAAUACCAGUGGCGAAAGCGGCACCCUGGCACUGACCUGACGCUCAUGUGCGAAAGCGUGGGGAGCAAACGGGAUUAGAUACCCCAGUAGUCAAA